GCCUUCAAAAACAUGUAUAUAUUAAGCGGCUCUUUAACUUCUUUUGUCUGCGCUCCGAGCCCCGCGCAUCCCUGGCCCCGCUCUGCCCGCCCGCGAUUGGCAGAGCCCUCACCACACUUCGGCGGCGCGCUGGGGAAUACGGCUCGGACACCGCGCCGGAGGGAUUGGACGGACGGCGAUGAUUGGCAGCGGCCGGGGCCCCGCGAUUGGCUCCCUUUCAGGCCGCCGGCGCAGCGGGGAUCCGCCCCCGCCGCCCCCCCGGGCCCCCCCGCGCCGCCCCCCGAAGUUGCACUCGCAAAACUUCGCGGGGCCCGACGGGCGCGCCCGGCGCCUCCCCCGCCGCCCCCCGCCGGCAGCACCGGGCAGCAGCAGCCGCCUCCGCUCCCCGGGCACCGGACGGGGCGCCCCGCUCAGGUGCUCCGCCGUGUUUACGUUUGCGGGGCCGUGGGGUUUCUCUCCUCGCCUGGCGGCGCGGCUGCUGCCCGGCUCUGCGCUCAGUUCCCUUAUCUUUUUUAUUUUUUUUUGGAGGGCCGCGUUCAUUCAUGGAUGAGGCGGGAAAGCGCUCCCUCCUGCAACAAUGUGCGCAACCCCACGCCCACGCGAGGCCGAGCCUGCUGUUGGUGCCCCUGGGAAUGCCUUGAGCUCCCGGGCUCAUGGAAAGUGCAGCCAAGCUGGCUGCCCUUGCCUGCCUGCGGGGCAGCCAGGGACUCUCCUCCGCCUCUCCGGGAGAGGAAACGGGGCAGGGGACGCCAGCGGACCCACACGCACCUCCGGCUCUCCCCGGCCACCGAAUCCCCUUGACGAAACUACAUCUAUGCGUCUUGGCCGCUUCCCCGUGCCAAGCCACGUUCAAAGGAAGCCCCGUGCUGGUCCGGCAUUUCCUGGGCCAGGCUUCAGGCUCUCCCUCCUCUGCCCCUCGCGGGGGAAAAUCUCGCAGGAUUUGGCCCACGGCUGCCAAAAGGGGGGCGAGAGGCUCUAGGGGGAGCUCAAGGGAGAGAGAGAGACCCGCCGGUUCCCUCCCUUCUCUCCCCCACGGGAGACGAGCCAGUGCUCCCGGCUCGUGUGGCAGCCGCGGGAGUUUCAGUGAUGCUGCAAGGCAAGGAAUGGGAAUAAAUGAUCCCUGGGUUUUUAAAA
This is a long non-coding RNA of Zonotrichia leucophrys gambelii, 1134 nucleotides long. RefSeq lists it as uncharacterized. The transcript has 2 exons. The record is from RefSeq and is a predicted model, not a curated record. NCBI's taxonomy places the organism in Eukaryota, Metazoa, Chordata, Aves, Passeriformes, Passerellidae.